UUUGAACCAUUUAUUGAAGGCUAGGGACAUAAAUUACACCUCAACUGAUAUAAGCGAUCAGAAAUCGGUUCAAAUCUGUAACACAGCAGAAGUUCAGUGCACAUAAACUGCUUUCAAAGUAGCUGAAACUGGUUUAAGAUAA
Long non-coding RNA from Gavialis gangeticus (Gharial), 142 nucleotides. RefSeq lists it as uncharacterized. The record is from RefSeq and is a predicted model, not a curated record. Lineage: Eukaryota; Metazoa; Chordata; Crocodylia; Gavialidae. The transcript is spliced from 3 exons.